CGAGUUUUGGACAUCACAUCGGGGUUCUGUAGGCAUUUCCAUAUACCUUUUACUUGAUUUAUUAUAAUUUCCUAGAAUAAAGGACUAAUAGAGUGGUGGUUUUUGUCAUCCACAAAAUCAUCAACAAUAAGAACUCCCGGAAUGAAUCGGUCAAAUAUCAUCUUUCAAGCAGGACACGCAGUUCAAACUUCAAAGUCCUUGUUCCAAGAAACUCUAUGAUCAUACAUUUAGACAACAAACAUAUUUGUUCGCUUUAUAUGCACCGCAUACAGUUGUAAAAUCAAUGAUUUUUAAUUUUUCACGGGAAUAAUUACAAAAUUCAAAAGUAUUCUUAGCUCUUAAAGCUUCAUGCUGCAAACUAACUAAUCCUAUGAUGUAUGAUCCACCAUCGUGGACGACAAUUUCUGUGCUACCCUAUUGUGGAUCCACCGUUAAGGAGUUUAUACAUGUAUGAUAGCAGCAAUCACUAGAUUCUUCCUUUUGUGGCUUUUGAUUCCAUUAAGGAAACUGGUAAUUGUAGUUCAAAGUUCAAACUACUCUUCUUCAGGGAUGCUAUGAAGCACACCAUCAUAUCCACCAUUAGAGGACACGACACUAACACGAUUAACAGGAAGUUGGACAAGUUCAUGUGCGACAUCUUUGAAUUCAAGAAGCCCCCCUUCUUUGCACUUGGCCAUUAAUCGAGCUGCUUCUUGUUUUGUCAUCCUAACUUUCACUCUGAUCACAUCUUUUUCUUGCACACUGCUGGCAUACCCUCUCUUCUCAAAAUUCUUCCUCGCAUCUUCUUCUUUAAUUGCCAAGCAA
Molecule: long non-coding RNA, 804 nt
Filed under: Populus trichocarpa (black cottonwood)
Lineage: Eukaryota; Viridiplantae; Streptophyta; Magnoliopsida; Malpighiales; Salicaceae
Description: long non-coding RNA (PTRI_LNC004725)
Source: RNAcentral